Molecule: ribosomal RNA, 480 nt
Filed under: Treponema denticola
Lineage: Bacteria; Pseudomonadati; Spirochaetota; Spirochaetia; Treponematales; Treponemataceae
Description: bacterial SSU rRNA
Rfam family: Bacterial small subunit ribosomal RNA
Source: RNAcentral
AACGAACGCUGGCGGCGCGUCUUAAGCAUGCAAGUCGAACGGUAAGGGAGAGCUUGCUCUCCCCUAGAGUGGCGGACUGGUGGUAACGCGUGGGUGACCUGCCCUGAAGAUGGGGAUAGCUAGUAGAAAUAUUAGAUAAUACCGAAUGUGCUCAUUACAUAAAGGUAAAUGAGGAAAGGAGCUACGGCUCCGCUUCAGGAUGGGCCCGCGUCCCAUUAGCUGGUUGGUGAGGUAAAGGCCCACCAAGGCAACGAUGGGUAUCCGGCCUGAGAGGGUGAACGGACACAUUGGGACUGAGAUACGGCCCAAACUCCUACGGGAGGCAGCAGCUAAGAAUCUUCCGCAAUGGACGAAAGUCUGACGGAGCGACGCCGUGUGAAUGAAGAAGGCCGAAAGGUUGUAAAAUUCUUUUGCAGAUGAAGAAUAAGAAGAAGAGGGAAUGCUUCUUUGAUGACGGUAGUCAUGCGAAUAGCCCCGGCU